RNAcentral lists this ribosomal RNA (488 nucleotides) under uncultured bacterium. RNAcentral's name for it is "partial 16S ribosomal RNA". It matches the Rfam family "Bacterial small subunit ribosomal RNA", at positions 30 to 507 of the family's 1533-position model. The record is from RNAcentral.
UGAACGCUGGCGGCAGGCCUACCACAUGCACGUCGACCGGUAACAGGAAGAAGCUUGCUUCUUUGCUGACGAGUGGCGGACGGGUGAGUAAUGUCUGGGAAACUGCCUGAUGGAGGGGGAUAACUACUGGAAACGGUAGCUAAUACCGCAUAACGUCGCAAGACCACAGAGGGGGACCUUCGGGCCUCUUGCCAUCGGAUGUGCCCAGAUGGGAUUAGCUAGUAGGUGGGGUAACGGCUCACCUAGGCGACGAUCCCUAGCUGGUCUGAGAGGAUGACCAGCCACACUGGAACUGAGACACGGUCCAGACUCCUACGGGAGGCAGCAGUGGGGAAUAUUGCACAAUGGGCGCAAGCCUGAUGCAGCCAUGCCGCGUGUAUGAAGAAGGCCUUCGGGUUGUAAAGUACUUUCAGCGGGGAGGAAGGGAGUAAAGUUAAUACCUUUGCUCAUUGACGUUACCCGCAGAAGAAGCACCGGCUAACUCCGUG